GAUCCUGGCUCAGAUUGAACGCUGGCGGAAUGCUUUACACAUGCAAGUCGAACGGUAGAGGGGCAACCCUCGAGAGUGGCGAACGGGUGAGUAAUAUAUCGGAACGUGCCCAGUCGUGGGGGAUAACGUAGCGAAAGUUACGCUAAUACCGCAUACGAUCUACGGAUGAAAGCGGGGGAUCGCAAGACCUCGCGCGAUUGGAGCGGCCGAUAUCAGAUUAGGUAGUUGGUGGGGUAAAGGCUCACCAAGCCAACGAUCUGUAGCUGGUCUGAGAGGACGACCAGCCACACUGGAACUGAGACACGGUCCAGACUCCUACGGGAGGCAGCAGUGGGGAAUUUUGGACAAUGGACGCAAGUCUGAUCCAGCCAUUCCGCGUGCAGGAUGAAGGCCCUCGGGUUGUAAACUGCUUUUGUACGGAACGAAAAGGUUUCUAUUAAUACUAGGAGCUCAUGACGGUACCGUAAGAAUAAGCACCGGCUAACUACGUG
Molecule: ribosomal RNA, 491 nt
Filed under: uncultured bacterium
Lineage: Bacteria
Description: bacterial SSU rRNA
Rfam family: Bacterial small subunit ribosomal RNA
Source: RNAcentral